Podarcis raffonei (Aeolian wall lizard) is the source of this 840-nucleotide long non-coding RNA. RefSeq lists it as uncharacterized. The record is from RefSeq and is a predicted model, not a curated record. Lineage: Eukaryota; Metazoa; Chordata; Lepidosauria; Squamata; Lacertidae. The transcript is spliced from 2 exons.
UCGAAGCUACCAGCAUGAGUUUGACCAAACUGCGGGAGGCAGUGGAAGAAAGGAGUGCCUGGCGUGCUCUAGUCCAGGGGGUCACGAAGAGUCGGACACGACUAAACAACAACAACAAGCCUCGUUGAGUUUAAUGGGACUCAUAACUCCAUUAAGCCUGGGACUGAUGGAAGUUUUGGUUGACAAUCAUUUGUAGGGUACUAGGUUGGUAAAGGCUGCUCUGGUGGGUUUGAUUAGUAGCGGAGUCUUCCUUUCUCCUCUCCUUCCUUCAGUCUGUUAUGUCUCCUUUUGGACUGUAGGUGGAGAUAUUAGCCCAGGUAUCCCUUCUGCCCCCGGCUUGUUGCUUUCACAUCUCUAAAUUAAUAUCUCUAAAUCCACGCACCUUGGUUUAGCAUCCUGGCAGAAAGAUGUUCUGCAAGCGAGGGGCAAGUGGGACAUCUGCAUGCCGCAUUACGCAGUGAAGAGGUCUUUAUUCUCAGGAACUGGGCCUUUAUUGUUGUGGCAACUACCCUUUGGGACUCCCCUUACAGAUUAGACAGCCACCUCUAUUGUCUUUUCUACAUGAAUUGAAUACUUUCUUCUUCAGCUAUCCCACUUGUCUGCUUCUGUAGUGGAACUAUUUUUUUUUUGUUAUAUCUGUUUUCAUAUGUGGAAUCGUUUUAAAAUGUCCACAUUGUUGCUAUAUAUAGAAUUGCUUUAUAAAUGGAACUUUUUUUUUACAGUUUUUGAUGGUUACGAUGCUUUAUCUGUAUAUAUUUUAUUGUUGUAACCCACCCUGUAUCUUGUAUAAAGGGUGAAUAAGAAAUCUAACAAAUCAAUAAAUUAUACAAAUGUCACAAA